RNAcentral lists this ribosomal RNA (256 nucleotides) under uncultured bacterium. Its description in RNAcentral is "partial 16S ribosomal RNA". It matches the Rfam family "Bacterial small subunit ribosomal RNA", at positions 524 to 778 of the family's 1533-position model. The record is from RNAcentral.
UACAGAGGGGGCAAGCGUUGUUCGGAAUUACGUGGCGUAAAGGGCGCGUAGGCGGCCUGUUAAGUCGAACGUGAAAUCCCCGGGCUCAACCCGGGAACUGCGUCCGAUACUGGCAGGCUUGAAUCCGGGAGAGGGAUGCGGAAUUCCAGGUGUAGCGGUGAAAUGCGUAGAUAUCUGGAGGAACACCGGUGGCGAAGGCGGCAUCCUGGACCGGCAUUGACGCUGAGGCGCGAAAGCUGGGGGGAGCGAAACGGGG